GGGACAACAGUUGGAAACGACUGCUAAUACCGCAUAAGCCCACGGUACCGCAUGAUACAGAGGGAAAAGGAGCAAUUCGCUUUGGGAUGGCCUCGCGUCUGAUUAGAUAGUUGGUGAGGUAACGGCCCACCAAGUCGACGAUCAGUAGCCGGACUGAGAGGUUGAUCGGCCACAUUGGGACUGAGAUACGGCCCAGACUCCUACGGGAGGCAGCAGUGGGGAAUAUUGCACAAUGGGGGAAACCCUGAUGCAGCGACGCCGCGUGGAGGAAGAAGGUCUUCGGAUUGUAAACUCCUGUCGUUGAGGACGAUAAUGACGGUACUCAACAAGAAAGCCACGGCUAACUACGUGCCAGCAGCCGCGGUAAAACGUAGGUGGCAAGCGUUGUCCGGAAUUACUGGGUGUAAAGGGAGCGCAGGCGGAAGCGCAAGUUGGAUGUGAAACCCAUGGGCUCAACCCAUGGCCUGCAUCCAAAACUGUGUUUCUUGAGUAGUGCAGAGGUAGGCGGAAUUCCCGGUGUAGCGGUGGAAUGCGUAGAUAUCGGGAGGAACACCAGUGGCGAAGGCGGCCUACUGGGCACCAACUGACGCUGAGGCUCGAAAGCAUGGGUAGCAAACAGGAUUAGAUACCCUGGUAGUCCAUGCCGUAA
This 649-nucleotide ribosomal RNA is filed under the name uncultured bacterium. Its description in RNAcentral is "bacterial SSU rRNA". It matches the Rfam family "Bacterial small subunit ribosomal RNA", at positions 140 to 805 of the family's 1533-position model. The record is from RNAcentral.